Molecule: ribosomal RNA, 486 nt
Filed under: Triticum aestivum (bread wheat)
Lineage: Eukaryota; Viridiplantae; Streptophyta; Magnoliopsida; Poales; Poaceae
Description: partial small subunit ribosomal RNA
Source: RNAcentral
AUGUCUUAUCUUCUUCUGUUGAUUUCGUGCCGCUCCUCCUUUUGUUGUGGUGUUCUUCGAGCCCUGUGCCUCCCUUCUUCACACAACGAGAUUCAUAAUUUCAUUGGGCUUUGGGAUGAGUAUAUCAAUCCUAUGAUGCACAAACGAAUUAAUUUCGAAGAGUUUGAUGUCUUGUACCCAGCUGUUCCUAAGCAAGAGAAUCGGCAUGAUUGUGGUGUCUUCGCUCUGAAGUAUAUGGAGAUCUUCACACCAAGAACUCAGAUGGCAAAUCUUUUCUCCAAUAUAGACAUUCCAAAUCUUAGGAUCAAAUAUGUGAAUGAUAUGUUUUUCAGCCCCUUGAACAACUGCGAGAAAUCUUUUGUCACUGAUUUCUUUGGCGAUGCAUGUUCUUAUUUUCCUUGUCCUCUAGUUCAUUUUUGUUUUGUUUUCUUCUUUUUACCUUCUAUUUUCUUUACCUAUUAUGGCCUCUUUAAUUUUUUUGUGUAG